Molecule: long non-coding RNA, 2749 nt
Filed under: Oryzias sinensis (Chinese medaka)
Lineage: Eukaryota; Metazoa; Chordata; Actinopteri; Beloniformes; Adrianichthyidae
Description: lncRNA (ENSOSIG00000013950.1)
Source: RNAcentral
GUGCGUCCGGCACCCCCAUGGAAGCAAAGAUGGGUCGGGGUGCAUUCAUGACCACCACUGGAGCGGGUUGUGGUGCGUCCGGGACCACCACCGGAACAGGAUCGGAUUGGGGUGCAGCCGGCACUUCGGUCUUCAGCCCUGAUUCAUUUGGUAAGUAUUGUUCACGUUUUUCUUUUUAAAUGAAAUGCUUUAAAUAUGCUCUUAUUUACUACUUUAAAUGUGGUUUACUGUUGUUUAAACAUACGUGUUACGAUCAUUGUAGAGCUUAAUGUGACAAAUGUUCAUUGGUUAGUCGUAGCAUAUGGCGAGCUGUUCAAACCAAAAUGUAUUUCUGCCCGUAAGUUACGACAGUGAAGACUUUUUUUCAGAGGUAGAAAUGAUCUGUUAUGCUGCAAUCACACUAAACGUGAUCCGUGAGUGAAAUUCGCAUCAGAGCCCUCUGUUUGUGGCUAAAGUUUGCUGCUGGACACAUGUCCAAAACUGUCACAGACUCAAAGCCUCUAACGGUUGUGUGGGAGGAGUUAACGCCAAAGGUUUUAAGCCUGGUUGCUACAUGGAAGCAUUGGGUUGUGAAUGCAGCUUCAAGCUUUUUCAAAUCACUGAUCUCCAUUUUAAAAUGUUUUUUUGUAAAAAUCAAUCAAUCAAUGUGCUCUUGUUGUGUUCAGUGUUUCACUGCCAGGUAGACGCCAAGGCCAGCCAGAUACUGAACUUCAAAGAGUUCACCAGAAAGUCACCAUUUCACCAGAAAAGAGCUGUCAGUGGGUGAGUUUUAUACUUAUUUAAUAUAUUCAUCCUGAACUAUUACCAUUGUUAGAUUUAUACGGCAGCAUGGAAAUAUUUAUGCACAUUUUAACUAGCCAAAGGUCUAAAUAGAGUUAAAAUUAUUUACAAUUUGCUUAACAUAUUUUAAUUGCAGGCUGAAGGUGGCACAUUGGAAUGGAGGUGUAAGUUGUGUUCUGUUACUUUAGCAGUAUUACUACAUAGACAAUAUUCCAAAGUGUCUCCACAGACAUGGCAGUGGAGACACUUUGGAAUAUUGUCAUGUCUCUAUUACAGUUGCAUUAGCACCUUUCCAUCAUUUGAAACCAUGGAAGCUCAUCUGUCCAGAUCUCAUAUGGAUUCAUGUAGAGUAGAUGCAGUCAGAGGAAAUUGUGCAGUUUUUACAUGUUUUUUGUGCCACUUAAAGCUGUCCUUUUCUGAGACUAAGUGAAUUUCUACUUUGCAUGAUUCAAAAACAGAUAACAAAUCAUUUGUAAACAGCUGUAAGAAGCCAUGGUGUAACUUGCCUUAAAAUGACUUUGGGUCUUUGACCUGAGGGGGAUUAUGCCAUAAACACUGCAUUGUCAUCUCACUAGAAAUAGCCAUCUAGAAAAUAUAUAAUUUUAUUAUUUCUCAAAGUACCUUAAAUAAAUAUUAGAAGUGUUUUCUUUGCAUUUGCGUCAAUGGUAAUGAUUUUUUUUGUUCUUUUAGGAUCAGCGUGAUGUGAACAUGAGAUGGGCACUUGUCCUCCUUGCACUUCCUGUUUAUCUGCAUGAAAAUGCCUCCAACUUCUUCCAGACCUGUUCUGAACGUGUCCAUGACUCCCUGUCAAUGCUUUUGUCAAAUCAUUAAACUGAAACUCAUCAUCAUUCAAAUAACAAAAGGAGAACAACAAGGAGGACUGGUUUAUAUAAUUCUGCAAACUGACAGGUAGAAAAAACUUAGCCAAAAUGGAAUGGAAAGUUUGACGCAUUAACUAUUACUGUCCCACCCUGUCUAUAUUUUUACUAUUAUAAUCGUUCCUAAUGGUCUUUUAAUUAUGAUUAUGCCGUUUUAAGCCAAAAUCAACAAGCAUAUGUCGUCCUUUAAAGAUAUUUUUUUCAGCAUUACUGCAAUUUCAGGACUAAUGAGCACACCUGAAAUUAAGCUGCACCCGGCAAAUUUAAAAAGAAAAAGAUAAUUGCACAUAUAGAGGCCACAUGUUUUAUAAGCCACAAAUGUCUACAUUGUAAUAUAGGAUAUUUACACUAUGAACAGUGGCUUUUUAAAUUGACGUCCAGCUGCGCUGCUAUGACUGAGAUCAGCGUAAUAAAAAGUCAAAAUAAACAUUGACGUGUUUUGAUAUUCUAAUGAUUAAAAUUUUAAUGAGUGACAUAAUAAAUACGUCAAUUGUUUGUAGUUUGUAAACUGAGUGAUUUUUAAAUAGUUUUAAAAAUGAGGCAGAAGAUGAAAGGCGAUCAUCAGGGAGAAGGAGCGGGAACUUUUUCUUUUACGCCAAACAGCAGCAAAGACAUGAAAACUCCACAGCGUUUUAGCUGAAGGUGUGGGGAUGGAGCUAUCUGCCAGGACUUUAAUUGUAGGAAAAGGCUGAUCCGACCAUUAUUUUGGAUCGGGAGCAACUGGAUUUUUCAAAAUCAACAAACACCAGCAUUGUCUAAAAACUGCAGGAACAUUGCGAACUGCUGAGCACUGCAAAAGUCCUGCCCGCUCGCCGCUGUUACGGGAGGUGGAGUCCACUCCGGUGACGAGUGAGACUUUCACGGUGCUCCACAGUUCCUGCAAUUUUUAGACAAUGUUGCUCCUCACUGUUCUUAAACAUCCUCCGCCUCCAAAGUAAAAUAAUGAUGGGUUUCCUCCAUAUUGGAUUUCUCCCUCCACCUGCCACAGUGGGUCCUCUCUAUGGAAGCGAUUAUGUAGCAUAAAUAAAAAGCAAAGUCAAAACCAGAAAUGCUUUUUAAUUUUCAAAAUGAAGCUGCAUUUUUUGACUCAU